Molecule: ribosomal RNA, 255 nt
Filed under: uncultured bacterium
Lineage: Bacteria
Description: partial 16S ribosomal RNA
Rfam family: Bacterial small subunit ribosomal RNA
Source: RNAcentral
GACAGAGGGUGCAAACGUUUGUUCGGAAUUACUGGGCGUAAAGCGCGUGUAGGCGGCUAAGUAAGUCGGGCGUGAAAUCCCACGGCUCAACCGUGGAAGUGCACUCGAAACUGCAUAGCUAGAGUCCUGGAGAGGAAGGUGGAAUGCUUGGUGUAGAGGUGAAAUUCGUAGAUAUCAAGCGGAACACCGGUGGCGAAGGCGGCCUUCUGGACAGUGACUGACGCUGAGACGCGAAAGCGUGGGGAGCAAACAGGG